UUGGAACGGUGCCGUUUUUAGUACAGCCCUUAAACCCUCAUUUUUGCUCCUUUUCUCCUAUUUUCUUUUCCAAUUGCAGGCCGCCUUUUAACAAACAUCUAUAACCUAAAAUCAAUCUGCUAAGGCUUCAUUUAGUAGUCGCCGAACCCACCAUUCAAUUUGAUGGUCGACGGUGCGCGAGCAGAGACCCGAUCUUGCCAACAAAGGUCACCCAUGGAAAUCUGGUAAGUUAAUCCUUCUCCUUUUCUUCGUUGAAAAAAACUCACAUAAUGUAUUAUUCUUUCUAAAAACAAAGCAGAAAUUCAAAAGAAAAGAAACAUUCGACCCUCGCCCCGAAUCUCUAUAUUUUUGAGAUAUGUGGGCGUUCAUUGGUGUCGAUUCAAGUAUUUUCAUUUUUUCAUGGUAAUAUUGUGAGCAAAUUGAAAGAAACAAAAAGAAAUAAAAAGAUUUUUGGGAUCACCUUUGGAUAAUUUUAUGACCGCUCUUUUUUAAUAUUUCGUAUGUAUUUCAGUGUGCGUAGUAUGCGUGUGUAAAAAUUAAAGGAUUACAUCAAUGGCUUUUUAUAGCUGGAUUUACAAAAUAAGUAGAAAAUUGAAAAUCCUAUUUUCCUAUUGUCAUUUGCUGUGUAUUCUGAUUUAUUCUUUUGCAGGUUCGGCCAUACAGAGGAACGAGGGGAGGCAUGCGUGAAGGAGGCCGUGCGGGGAACCACUCGUGGGAGCCCGACCCUUUGGCACUAUUCUAGCAUAUUCUAGAAGUUUCUCGGCUGCCGAGUUUCUUUGGGUUCUAUUAGGUCUCGAAUUUGGGCUAUUGGAAUCGGGUUUGGGUAUUGAGUGGAUAGCUUGGGUUUUAAUUUAAGCCCGAAAUUCUGUACAUGGGUUAGGAUUAUUGGGUCAUUAGGCUAGAUUUUUUGGGUUAAAGAUUUUGUAUAUAAUUGUUAGGAUAUAAAUUUGGGUUUCAUUUAGGCCCUGAAUUUUGUAAAUGAACGUUGGCCUCAUAAACAUUUUAGUUUAUUUAUUUCUAUUUGAUACACAUAUUUUUUUUAUUUUUGGUUUUUGAUUUAUUAUAGGCCCGGGCAAAUUGGGCCUAUUACAUAUAUUAAUCACAAGUAGUCUC
This 1113-nucleotide long non-coding RNA is filed under the name Gossypium barbadense (sea-island cotton). RNAcentral describes it as "long non-coding RNA (GBAR_LNC010266)". The record is from RNAcentral. Lineage: Eukaryota; Viridiplantae; Streptophyta; Magnoliopsida; Malvales; Malvaceae.